This 506-nucleotide ribosomal RNA is filed under the name uncultured Glomeromycotina. Its description in RNAcentral is "partial small subunit ribosomal RNA". It matches the Rfam family "Eukaryotic small subunit ribosomal RNA", at positions 591 to 1092 of the family's 1831-position model. The record is from RNAcentral. Lineage: Eukaryota; Fungi; Glomeromycota.
CCAAUAGCGUAUAUUAAAGUUGUUGCAGUUAAAAAGCUCGUAGUUGAAUUUCGGGAUUGACGUGACGGUCGUGCCUUAAGGGGUAUGAACUGUCGCCGUUGAUUUCUCACCUUCUGGAGAAGCUCGAUGUCCUUAAUUGGAUGUCUUGUGGAACCAGGACCUUUACCUUGAAAAAAUUAGAGUGUUUAAAGCAGGCAUUUUGCUCGAAUACAUUAGCAUGGAAUAAUAGAAUAGGACGGCAUGGUUCUAUUUUGUUGGUUUCUAGGAUCACCGUAAUGAUUAAUAGGGAUAGUUGGGGGCAUUAGUAUUCAAUUGCCAGAGGUGAAAUUCUUGGAUUUAUUGAAGACUAACUACUGCGAAAGCAUUUGCCAAGGAUGUUUUCAUUAAUCAAGAACGAAAGUUAGGGGAUCGAAGACGAUCAGAUACCGUCGUAGUCUUAACCAUAAACUAUGCCGACUAGGAAUCAGACGAUGUUAAUUUUUUAAUGACUCGUUUGGCACCUUACG